This 70-nucleotide transfer RNA is filed under the name Beaufortia kweichowensis. Its description in RNAcentral is "tRNA-Phe". It matches the Rfam family "tRNA". From Rfam's summary of the family: Transfer RNA (tRNA) molecules are approximately 80 nucleotides in length. Their secondary structure includes four short double-helical elements and three loops (D, anti-codon, and T loops). Further hydrogen bonds mediate the characteristic L-shaped molecular structure. tRNAs have two regions of fundamental functional importance: the anti-codon, which is responsible for specific mRNA codon recognition, and the 3' end, to which the tRNAs corresponding amino acid is attached (by aminoacyl-tRNA synthetases). tRNAs cope with the degeneracy of the genetic code in two manners: having more than one tRNA (with a specific anti-codon) for a particular amino acid; and 'wobble' base-pairing, i.e. permitting non-standard base-pairing at the 3rd anti-codon position. The record is from RNAcentral. Lineage: Eukaryota; Metazoa; Chordata; Actinopteri; Cypriniformes; Gastromyzontidae.
GCUAGUGUAGCUUAAUAUUAAAGCAUAGCACUGAAGAUGCUAAGACGGGCCCUGAAAAGCUCCACAUGCA